This 495-nucleotide ribosomal RNA is filed under the name uncultured bacterium. RNAcentral's name for it is "partial 16S ribosomal RNA". It matches the Rfam family "Bacterial small subunit ribosomal RNA", at positions 28 to 507 of the family's 1533-position model. The record is from RNAcentral.
GACGAACGCUGGCGGCGUGCCUAAUACAUGCAAGUCGAACGCUGAAGGAGGAGCUUGCUUCUCUGGAUGAGUUGCGAACGGGUGAGUAACGCGUAGGUAACCUGCCUGGCAGCGGGGGAUAACUAUUGGAAACGAUAGCUAAUACCGCAUAAGAGUAGAUGUUGCAUGACAUUUGCUUAAAAGGUGCAAUUGCAUCACUACCAGAUGGACCUGCGUUGUAUUAGCUAGUUGGUGGGGUAACGGCUUACCAAGGCGACGAUACAUAGCCGACCUGAGAGGGUGAUCGGCCACACUGGGACUGAGACACGGCCCAGACUCCUACGGGAGGCAGCAGUAGGGAAUCUUCGGCAAUGGACGGAAGUCUGACCGAGCAACGCCGCGUGAGUGAAGAAGGGUUUCGGAUCGUAAAGCUCUGUUGUAAGAGAAGAACGAGUGUGAGAGUGGAAAGUUCACACUGUGACGGUAGCUUACCAGAAAGGGACGGCUAACUACGUG